GAUGAACGCUGACAGAAUGCUUAACACAUGCAAGUCAACUUGAACUUCGGUUUGGGUGGCGGACGGGUGAGUAACGCGUAAAGAACUUGCCUCACAGCUAGGGACAACAUUUGGAAACGAAUGCUAAUACCUGAUAUUAUGAUUUUAGGGCAUCCUAGGAUUAUGAAAGCUAUAUGCGCUGUGAGAGAGCUUUGCGUCCCAUUAGCUAGUUGGAGAGGUAACGGCUCACCAAGGCGAUGAUGGGUAGCCGGCCUGAGAGGGUGAUCGGCCACAAGGGGACUGAGACACGGCCCUUACUCCUACGGGAGGCAGCAGUGGGGAAUAUUGGACAAUGGACCAAGAGUCUGAUCCAGCAAUUCUGUGUGCACGAUGAAGUUUUUCGGAAUGUAAAGUGCUUUCAGUUGGGAAGAAAAAAAUGACGGACCAACA
This 429-nucleotide ribosomal RNA is filed under the name Fusobacterium periodonticum. RNAcentral's name for it is "bacterial SSU rRNA". It matches the Rfam family "Bacterial small subunit ribosomal RNA", at positions 28 to 483 of the family's 1533-position model. Lineage: Bacteria; Fusobacteriati; Fusobacteriota; Fusobacteriia; Fusobacteriales; Fusobacteriaceae. The record is from RNAcentral.